AAAUUGAAGAGUUUGAUCAUGGCUCAGAUUGAACGCUGGCGGCAGGCCUAACACAUGCAAGUCGAACGGUAACAGGAAGCAGCUUGCUGCUUCGCUGACGAGUGGCGGACGGGUGAGUAAUGUCUGGGAAACUGCCUGAUGGAGGGGGAUAACUACUGGAAACGGUGGCUAAUACCGCAUAACGUCGCAAGACCAAAGAGGGGGACCUUCGGGCCUCUUGCCAUCAGAUGUGCCCAGAUGGGAUUAGCUUGUUGGUGAGGUAAUGGCUCACCAAGGCGACGAUCCCUAGCUGGUCUGAGAGGAUGACCAGCCACACUGGAACUGAGACACGGUCCAGACUCCUACGGGAGGCAGCAGUGGGGAAUAUUGCACAAUGGGCGCAAGCCUGAUGCAGCCAUGCCGCGUGUAUGAAGAAGGCCUUCGGGUUGUAAAGUACUUUCAGCGGGGAGGAAGGUGUUGUGGUUAAUAACCGCAGCAAUUGACGUUACCCGCAGAAGAAGCACCGGCUAACUCCGUGCCAGCAGCCGCGGUAAUACGGAGGGUGCAAGCGUUAAUCGGAAUUACUGGGCGUAAAGCGCACGCAGGCGGUCUGUCAAGUCGGAUGUGAAAUCCCCGGGCUCAAC
Molecule: ribosomal RNA, 623 nt
Filed under: Salmonella enterica
Lineage: Bacteria; Pseudomonadati; Pseudomonadota; Gammaproteobacteria; Enterobacterales; Enterobacteriaceae
Description: bacterial SSU rRNA
Rfam family: Bacterial small subunit ribosomal RNA
Source: RNAcentral